AUGCCGUCCUUCACCGGCGUGUCUAUCGUCGACGGCGAGCAGUGCUGUUGCGAGGCGUCGGCCGUGGUGGACGCCGGCAGCGCGGACAGCGGGUACCACUUGCUCGUGGUCCGGGGAUACUCGCGUACCAAACAGGAGUUGUCCGCCGGCGAGAGCAUCACCUCCGAUGUUUUCAUCAUAGGAGGCCAUUGCUGGUACAUCGAGUACUACCCCAACGGCGAAAACCCGGACUGCGGCGACUUCAUUUCUCUCUAUGUUACCAAUUACGACAACAGUCUCAAAGAGCCCCUGGAGACCAAGUUUGGGUUCAGCUUCAUUGACCAGGUUGAGAAGCAGACGCCAAUGUACAUUCAUGCGGCUGGUAAGACUUGCAGAUUCACUGACGGCCAUUGUUCCUGGGGCACCGACAAGUUUGUGAGAAGAGAUGCCCUUGAACGAUCAUCGGACCUAAAGGGUGAUUGCUUCACCGUCUGGUGUGAUGUCAUGGUCAUUCGCAAGGACCCCAAAGCCGAGGAUGCCGGUGGCCAUGACACCAAGAUGCUCCUGUCUGACAUAGACCAGCAUUUUAACAUUCUUCUUCAAACCAAGGUGGGUGCUGAUGUGACAUUCGAGGUCAGCGGCGAGACCUUCGCCGCGCACCGGUGUGUGCUCGCUGCCCGAUCCAUGGUGUUCAUGGCACAACUGUUUGGCCCCAUGAAGGAGACGUCCGCCGUCAUACAGAUCAAAGACAUGGAAGCAAAAGUGUUCAAGGCACUGCUUAGCUUUAUCUACACAGACUCAUUCCCUGUGAUGGAGGAUGCAAUGAUAGAAGUCACUGAAGAUGGGCAAGAAAAGGAGGCAGUAGAGGAUGAAAUGUUGCUGCAAUGGCUACCAGACUAGUUGGUAGCGGCUGACAGAUAUGAUGUCCAACGGCUCAAGUGCAUCUGUGAGAAGCAGUUGUCUGAGAACAUAGGUGUGAGCACGGUGAUGUCCUCUCUUGCUCUAGCCGAGCAGCACCACUGCCAGGGAUUAAAGGAGGCGUGCUUGAAGUUUAUCCAAGUCCAGUCCCCCUCGUGCUUGCAAACAGUAAUGGCAACUAAUGGCUGGGAUCAUGUAGUUUCGACCUAUCCCUCGGUUUUGAAGGAGCUCUUUCUCAAGUUUGCUUCAAGCCAGUGAAAGUAA
RNAcentral lists this ribosomal RNA (1161 nucleotides) under Triticum aestivum (bread wheat). RNAcentral's name for it is "partial small subunit ribosomal RNA". Lineage: Eukaryota; Viridiplantae; Streptophyta; Magnoliopsida; Poales; Poaceae. The record is from RNAcentral.